Molecule: long non-coding RNA, 15399 nt
Filed under: Lathyrus oleraceus (garden pea)
Lineage: Eukaryota; Viridiplantae; Streptophyta; Magnoliopsida; Fabales; Fabaceae
Description: Pisum sativum (pea) long non-coding RNA (PSAT_LNC032683)
Source: RNAcentral
UCAUAAACCCUAUAUAUGAACUUGAUAUAUCAAUGGUGAUCAUGCCCUACCUACAAAAGAGUUAGGCAAACACAAAGACAUAUUUUUGUAUUUUGGUUAGUAAAAUGAUAAUAUACAAGUAUGAUACAAUCACAUAGUGCUUGGUGAUCUCUCCCAAGACAAACGCAAUGAAAGAGGGGUAAGGAGGAUGUCAAGGUAUGAUCCCAACGCUAAUGCUUAUGAUGAAAUUGCAUGAGGGAUCUUAGGGUCAAAAUUGGUGUCUUACACCUGACUCCAUGCUCGUGACUCAUAACAAACCCUUUGAUUCUUGGUUGAUACGAUCAAGUCUUGUCAAUAUCAAUGGAACUUGGGUGUUGAUAAGGUGAAAACCAUAAUCCACCAAAAUGGAUAAUUGAUCUUGAUGAUGACUUGAUCCGUCCCUUGACCUUUACUUGUGCUUGCCUUGUUUAUGAUCCCUUGUGUGUGAUUGUUACAUUCAUGUAUACAUGCGCAUCAUGACAUUCAUCACAGAAAAUAAAUUUCAAGGAACUAAGGUCUUGUUUGCAAAUGUUUUCAGACCAUGGAUUAUGGACGAAGGAACAUUAAGAAGUACAGUUUAAGAUGUCCUGAUUUGAAAGAGCUAAGGAAGUUGUCAUCCUUUGUAUUAGAUCCCUUGGACUUUAAGCAACGUCAUGGGAACCAUUUAUCUGUGUUAUCUGCUGAUAUGGUUGAAGGACUUCUGAGUGUGUUGGUUCAGUUUUAUGAUCCUCUCUACCAGUGCUUCACUUUUCCUGAUUAUCAGCUUGUGCCUACGUUAGAGGAGUAUGCCCAUCUCUUGGGAAUACCCGUAUCUGACAAAGUACCUUAUAGUGGAUUAAAGGAGAUUCCCAGAUCUCAUAUCAUAGCUGAAGCUCUUCAUCUGAAGAUAUAUAAGAUUGAUGCUCAUUUGGUGAAGAAAGGAGGUAUUUUUGGGUUGACUUCUGAGUUCCUCAUUGGUAAAGCUAUUUUUUUUGCUCAAGCAGGUAACAUGGAUGCUUUCGAAGCCAUAUUUGUAUUGCUCAUCUAUGGUUUAGCUUUGUUCCCUAACAUUGACGGUUUUGUUGAUGUUAAUGCCGUUUGAAUUUUCUUGAUUGGGAAUCCUAUUCCUACUCUGUUGGAUGACAUGUAUGUCUCUUUGCAUUUGAGGAAUUCUAAAGGUGGUGGGACUAUUGUGUGCUGUAUUCCUCUUCUGUACAAGUGGUUUAUUUUGCACUUGCCUCAGACGUUUGCUUUUUUAGAGAACAAGCAAUGUCUACGGUGGUCUUAGAGACUUAUGUCUCUCACUAAUGAUGAUAUUGUUUGGUAUGAUUCUGCAUUGAGUAGUGUGGACAUUAUUGACAGUUGUGGUGAAUUCACUAAUGUGCCUCUUGUAGCGGUGUAUUCGUCACCUUAUGAUUUAUUGACUAAAUCAAAAGCAAAGCAUACAAAAAUAGAGUCGCCACCGUACUUCUAUUUAUCCAAAGGAAUGGCUAGAAAGCGAACAAAAGCCUAUGAAGUUUUACACAGAGAAAACUAAUAAAAGGCCAGAGAUCUGGGUAAGGGGGUAAUUAUGCAAAGGGAAGGUGUUAGGCACCCAAUGCAUCCUAGGUACUCCUAGGGAACCUCUUUUCACAAAUGUUGUAUUAUUAUUUGUUUAUGAAAUAUUUUUGUGCAAACCAUGAUUGAAGGGAUGAGAAAAGAAUAUACAAUUUUUAUUAUUUUUGUGUUUGAAUGGAUGAACUCAUUGCCUACGUACCUUUUCAUGAAAGAUAAGGAUCAAAACGCCGUAGUUCGGCUAAAAGAUUUCCAAAAAGUGAGUGGAUUGAUUUUAAACAAGAACCUUAAGGUCUUUCAUUAUCAACGGGAGAAAACUCAACCUGAACCAACAAUCCACCAUGUGAGAAAAGCUUCGACAUGCUAGUGAGGGGUUAACCCUAUAAUAAGCAUGGAAGUCUUACAAUUCAAUCACUAAGGAUGCGGUGAGAUUUACAUCAACCACUAUAAUAAUUCAGAUAUAUGGCUAAUGUAUGAAAACUUGAUUAAGAGAGUGGACAAGGGCCACAAAAGCAAUUGAGUGAGUGAAAUUAACCAAUUAGAAUUAUUCACAAAGAAUGGUCAAAGUUGACAUUAGAUUCAAUUCAAAAGAAGUAUUGUGAAAAUGAAGUUUGAAAAUCAGAGGCUUAAGGCCUAGGUUUCUAGUUUUGAAAACAGAUGAAAAUGUUUGCACAAAGUUUUCUGGUUUGGGUUAAAGAUGAAAACAAGGUUCAAGGUUAAGCACAAAAGGGUUAAGGGACAAAAAACAGAUGAAAAUGUUUGCACAAAGUUUUCUGGUUUGGGUUAAAGAUGAAAACAAGGUUCAAGGUUAAGCACAAAAGGGUUAAGGGACAAAGCCACAAAUAGGAAUCGCUUUCUCAAAAUCAUAGGAAUGAUUCAAGGAAGUUCCUUUGGAAUUAGGCAACACAAGGCAAAAGCAAAUAAGCAAGCUCAAAGGAGCAACAAAACUGGAAAUGGAUUGCCAAUAAAUGGUCUUACGUCCAACUCCGGAAACAAAUGGGAAACGGAGUGCCAAUAAAUGGUCUUAUGUCCAACUCCACAAAGCGACAUGGGAAACAGAUAGCCAAUUAAUGGUCUUACGUCUGACUCCACAAAAAGAAAACAAGUAGGAAAUAGAUAGCCAAUCAAUGGUCUUACACCUGACUCCUCAAAACAAAACAAACACAGGAAACAAAUAGUCAAUCAAUGGUCUUACACCUGACUCCUCAAAACAAAACAAUAUAGGAGAUGGAGUGCCAAUCAAUGGUCUUAUAUCCAGCUCCCCAAAAGGAACAGGAAACAGAUAGCCAAUCAAUGGUCUUACAUCUGACUCCUCAAACAAAAAAAAUAACAAAUGCAAGAGCAAAAUGCAAACAAUAUGCAAAAGCAACAUGAAGGAUGCACAAGUAAGCAACCAAGCAAACAUAUCAAUCAAUUAUCACACGCUAUACACAACCAAGAGGCUCAUACAAGGCUGGGCUUUAGUUAAGGGGUCAUAUCAACCUCGACAAACAAGCCAGAUAUGUAAGGGUGUUUGGGCUCUUAACCACUGACAUUGACCGUCAGGGUGAGCAGAUGAAAUGGGAGAUGAGGGUUAGACCUCAUAGCUCUCAACCCUGGCCGGGGUGAGCUUGAAUCAAAGAAGGUGUGGGAGUCCAGAAUAAGGAACUCUACUCCACAAUGACUGACUCUAUAUACAAUGAUCUUGGGUGUUUAUUCAAAUGCAUCAGCACAUAGUGCGAGCAAUAUGAAAGACUCAACUGAAUAGCAGGGGAUGGAUUGCACAUCCCUCCUAUCUGCCAAUGCCUUCACUUAGGAGGUCUUACAAUGUAACCAUGCCUCACUGAGGUCUUUAGCACAAAAUUAAACAAUCAAGAAUGUGGCCUCUUAAGGAGGGCUUCAGACAGGUGCCUGCCAAAGAUAGCAGGUCUCCAGACUACAUGGAGUUAAGGAAAUACCAAGUGUUGCAACACCAAGCACAGCAAGCAACUCAAGUAAUGAGUUAAAGCUACUAAAGUACCUGUAAGAAAAUCAAACAAGUCAAUAUUCACAUUCAGACAAACUAAACAAACAGUCAACAGUCAGACAACCAAUAUACACAAUGUAAGUCAACAACUCAAGUGAAUUAGCCAUCCAAGGACCUACAACACAAUCAACAUUAGUUAAACAAAGCAAAUUGUAUCUCAAGCAAGGAGAUUACAUCAUCCAUUAGGAAUUAUUGCUUGAACCUGAAAUGCAAAGCUCAAAUUGUGAGUACAAACCCCUAAGGCAAAGCCUAGGGUCAAAGGUGAAGUAAAAAGUCAAAACAGCAACCAACAUUCAACAUGAAUCACAUUUAAUCAAGUAAGAACAUGUCCUAAAAAGGACCAAGCCAAAAGCAUUAAGCAAAGUCAUGUAGUGAGCAAGAGAAGACAAAGGCAAUUUCAAAGCACACAAUUGAACAUUAAGAAUCAAAAUUCCAUAUUAAAACAGAAAUGAAUCAAACAAUCCUGGAAAUUUUUAUGUGCACAUAAUAUGUCAAACAUAAUCACCAUGCCAAAAAUUAGAAUCAACAGAGUUCAAUUGACCUAGAAAUGAAAAUGCACAAGUAUGACAUCAAAUUGUGUGACACACAUUGUCACACCAAAAGUUUAUGUGUCUAAAACAGAAAUCAAAAAUGAUAAAAAUGCACCAUCAAGCCUCAAAGGUCAAGCAACAUGUUGGGAAUCAUCAUACAAAAUUUCAUGGCAAUUGGAUCAUUUUUGAGCAUUUCACACUAGAAAGAAUGAAGCAAUGUCACAAAUGCAUAUAUGAUCAAUCAACCAAUCACAAUUCAAAUUCCAGAGAUGAUAAAAUCAUGAAACCAUCACCAAAAGAUAAUAGACAAACACAUGAACAUUUUGCAAAAAAUUGGGAAUUAAUUGGAUAUGUUUUCAAUUUUAUAUGAUUUUUCAAAGUUGGAUAAAAUGUUUGAAAUAAAUGAGCAAACACAUGUUGAAAAUGGAGGGAAAGAUUAAAUGAUGAAUUAAUUUGAAAACAUGUCUCAGGCUGGAAUCGAACUCGGUGGCAAUUAAAUGAAGCGCUGAAACACAAAUAAUCCAGAAAUGUUCACGUUGGGAAUCGAAUGGGGGAAGGAUGAAACGCAGAGUUUCAUUAAUGCGUUGGCGUCCACGUCACUGAGUCAAAGGCCAUGUGGCUUGGUCAAAAGAACGCUGGCCAACGGAUACGCCAACGAUGUGCUUGCAUGGACAUGACCAUGCAAAGCCCUAGCGCUAAAACCAGAAGGCAGCGCUACAGUACCAGGGCGGCGCGCACGGUGGAAGCCACCGUCUUCUUCAUGAAGACGGUGGAGAAACAGUAACUUCAUGCAAGAAAUUUUCCAGAAUCAUGCAAUAUCUAUACCAAAUGAAAGCUCUUGCUACGUACAUUACAGAUCAAGCAAUAUCUAAGGCUAAUUCAUCAUGAAUCUUGAGAAUCGAUCAAAACAUUAUUGGAUACAAAACUUUAAAUCCACAUAACUCGGUCAAUAUUCAUCCAAAUCACAUGAAAUUUUCAUCAGCAUGCUCAGCAAGAGAAGGUCUACACUAUCAUGGCAAAAGAUUGGAGAAUUAAGAGCUUCGAAAAACCUACCUCUUGAAGAACAGUUUCUGGAAUCAACAGUUUCAAGGCCUGACACGAUUCAAAUCCACUCCUCUAUCACUGUUAUGAAGCUUUAUGAAGAAAUUGAGGCUUGGAGAGGCUUAGAUCUAGCUCAAAUAACAGUUUCCAUCUUCACCUUCAUGAGCUUGAUAUGCUUGAUUUCCACUCAAAUCCUUCAAAACAAAGUUUGAUCUGCACUAAAGGAGGGUCAGAGAACAAGAAUAUACAAGAAAAUCACUAGCUUAUGUGAAGAAAAUUUGAAUUUGGAUUGAGAGAAAAUUUUGGAGGGAAGAAGAAUUUAGAUCUAGAAAUGGUGAAGAUCCAGAAAUUCUGUUAAAAUUCUGUUAGGAUUUGGUAUAUAUACUCAGUCUUAAUCACAUCCUAAUUAAAAUUAAGCAUGGUUUAAUUGAGAUUAGUGAAAAUGGGGUGUGUGACCAAAAAUGACAAUUUGUGUGGUGCAUGGGAAAUGCAUACGUGAACAGUACCAAAUGGGAGCUCAAAUUCACUUAAAAUCUUCCAAUGAACACAAUGGCAAUGGUAUUUUGUCCAUACAAUGCACCAAUUUUAAAUUUAUCAUUUUCCCUCUAAAAUAGUCAUGAAAGAACAAAUGAUCAUGUGAUGAAAUUUCAUGCAAUGUGAUGAAUGAUUUGGAAAUUAGAGGUCAUGACAAGCAAAAUGCAAAAAGAGGCACUCAUUUUGGAGUUAUGAGUCAAAAGUUAUGGCCUUUUGAAGUUCCAUGCACACUUGGCAAUGAUUGGACCAUAUCUCCUCAACCAUUCAUCUGAUGCUCAUGAUCUUGGGCUUUUUGGAAAUGGGAGAGAGAGAUCUUAAACUUUCAUGUUGGACAAAAGUUCAUUUGAAGCUUCUUUGAUGUUGGAAAGUUGAGUUGAAGUUGGUCCAAAAACAUUCCAUUUUUGGAAACUUGAAAUUAUAGGUCACUUUCCAUUUUGGGAAACUUUUGUACUGGCUUCAAAUUCUUCAAUGUAGAUGUUUGACAUGAUGAAUAAGCAUUGUUGGCACAUGAAUGGGAUGAAGAAACUCAAUUUCCCAAUUCAAAAACCACAGUUGACUUUCAGUUGACUGGCAUAGGCCUUUAGAUGACCUGAAAAUGUUUUGAUGAACUUGGGCCUUUGCCACUUGGGGAAUUUGCUUCACAAUGGACCUCUAGCUCACAUAAGCUCAAAAUAAUGAUCACAUGAUCCAUAUCUCAAGGAAAACCUCAUCUCUUGCACAAAGGAUUCACUUGAUUGCCUUGACUUGUUGAUUGUUUAAGCUGCAAGACAAAGGUUAAUGACAUAUUUUUGUACAUUUUUGGUUAGUGAUUAAUAGAAAAGCAAUGAUACACAAAUGCAAGGAAUGCUUGGUGAUCAAGAAUUACUCUCAAGAAAGAUCCCACCCACAGGGAAGGAAGCAAGGUGUCCAAUGAUCCUUGAGGCAAUGCAAUGUUAUGAUAUGAUGCCAUGAGGGAUCUUAGGGAUAAAAUUGGGGUCUUACACCUCUCAUUGGUACACAAGGAGGAAUCAACUAUAACCCUGCUUUGAAUCGUCGUCAACUUGGGUUCUCCUUGAGAGAUAAACCUAAUAACACUCAGUUAGAAGGUCUAUUUUAUAAAGAGGGUAAUGAUCCUCAACAUUUGAAGCAAAAGAUGAUACAUGUGUGGCAUAAUAUGCAUAGGAAAGGAAGAUCUGAGCUUAGUCAGCGCAAAUGUGUAGCUCUGGGAGCUUACACUAUUUGGGUGAAGAAGAGAGCUUUGGAGCUGAAGAUGCCAUACGCUUGUGAAAGAACUAUAUCUAUGGUUAUGGCUGAGCCAUCAACUCUCCCUAACCAAGAUAUAGAGGAGUUGGAAGACGCACUCACCAAGAUGAAGCAAGAGAGAGAUAUGUGGGAAGAGCGGUUCCAUACUUUGAGCUGAAAGCAUGAGGAGUUGUAGCUUGAGUCAAAAGACAAGGAUGCACUUAUUGAGAUUCUUGAAGACCGAGCAGUGAAAAGACAGAGAGAUCCAGAUGGUCUACCUUCCUCUAUUAUGCCUCAGCCUUCCAGUGCUUGGAAGAAGAUUAUUGAUCAGCUAGUUCUUGAGAAGGCUCAGAUGAAGAUAUCCUUUGAGUUUGAGAUUCUACACAUCCGAAGGAAGUAUUCACAAUAGCCAGAUCAUCUGACGCAGUUGCUAAGGGAUCCUUAGGAUGAUAGUUUCCUUUUCUCUUGUAUUUGUACUUUGGUUUCUGAAAUUGUACUUAGUGUAAUCCUUCCAAAUUUUAUGAAUAAAAAUAGAUUUUAUGGUCAAUCAAAUUAUUGUUAUUUGAAUAUAAAUUUGCAAAUAGGACUUCAUAUGUUCCUUGAAAUUAAAAAACAUUGCAUUUCAUACAUCAUUUGCACAACACGUUUUCUUCCGCCAGAUGUCUUAUCAGUUCUCCUUCUAUGCAUCAGCCAAGCUGACUCACCGUUACAAUACUCGCGCUAAUCAACCAAGGAUCAUGGAGCAUCUAGAGCAAGAGAGCAGAGAGCUAAAGGACGAGAUCACCAGAUUAACGACUAUGAUGGAAUCUGUCAUUGCUGCAUAUAAUCAAUCUUCACCAUCUUCUGCAACUCCUCCCUAGAUGACUUUUAUUUCUGAGGUUGCUACCUUAACUGUUCCUGUUGCUGCUGCCAUUCAAUCCAUGCCCUCUAUGCCUGCUGGGUUUCCUUGGGGAAUUCCAUCAAAUUUUAUGCCAGAAGGGUAUGCGCCCACCUUUGUUUCUCUGUCGGCAUCUAGCCCGGUCAUGUCAGUGCCUCCCCCGGUUGUUCACACUCUUCCUCGUGUUAAGGAUACUAUCUACCUUUCUGACCCGUCUGAGGGCCCAGAUGUAUAUGAGAAGAUGGAUGAGAUGAAAGAUCAAUUCCUCUAGCUACGUAAAGAGUUGAAUACCUUGAGAGGAAAAUACUUGUUUGGGAAGAGUUCUGUUGAACUUUGCUUGGUCCCCAAUGUUAAGAUCUCGGUGAAAUUCAAGGUCCCAGACUUUGAAAAGUACGAAGGGAAUACUUGCCCACUAAGCCAUCUUGUGAUGUACGUCAGAAAAAUGUCUACUCAUACUGAUAAUGAUCAGUUGUUGAUUCACUAUUUCCAAGACUGUUUAACUAGAGUUGCUUUAAGGUGGUAUAUGGGUUUGGAUAGUGCAAAAAUUCUUACUUUCAACGACUUAGGCGAGGCCUUUGUCAAGCAGUAUAAGUACAACGUGGAUAUGGUGCCUGAUGGAGACCAGAUGAGGUCUAUGUCUCAGAAAGAUAAAGAGACAUUCAAACAAUAUGCCAGAGAUGGAGAGAGCUUGGUGCCCAGACAAGUCCACCUCUUGAAGAGAAAGAGAUGCGAAGAUGUUCUUGAAGAUGUUGAGUUUGUUUUAUUAUGAAUGUAUGAUUGCGGGUGCCCCCAACAAUUUUACCGAAAUGGUAAACAUGGGGAUGAGGCUAGAAGAAGGAGUCCGUGAAGGACAUAUGUCUAAAGAAGAAGCAUCAUCCAACAAGAAAUAUGGUUGGAGUUUCUCCAAGAGGAAGAAAGGAGAAACUAAUUCAGUGUCAGUAGGGAGGCAGAGGAGGCCUCAUGUCAGAAAGAGUUCUCAACCCUGUCAACAUCAGUAUCAAGUUUCCUCAGUAAUUCCGUUUUUUUCCAUCAAUUUCAACAAUCAAUCAGUUCCAAUUCAACAACAACAACAUCAACAACAACUGCAACAAUGAACCAACUACAACAACAAUAAUCAUCAAUAAAACUUUGAGAGGAAGAAGGUCUCCUUUGACCCUAUUCCUAUGAAUUAUGCAAAAUUGUAUCCAUCAUUGGUUCUCAAGAACCUCAUUCAACCAAGAAAUCCUUCGCCGAUUCCUGAGCCAUUACCAUGGUGGUUCAAACCCGACCUUCAUUAUGCUUUUCACUAGGGAGCCCAUGACCAUGACAUAUAAAACUGCUAUCCAUUGAAAUAUGAAGUCCAAAAGCUUAUAAAUAGUGGUAUGGUGUCCUUUGAGGAUAAAUCACUGAAUGUAAAAGCCAAUCCGUUGUCUGCUCAUGGUAACGCUUCUGUCAACAUGGUGGACGGCUGUCCAGGGAAUUUUAGAGUUUUUGAUGUACGACGUAUCCGAAGAUCUCUGGUGGAGAUGCAUAAGACAUUGUGUUUGAUCAGUGAUUGUGAACAUGACCAUGAUGGUUGUGUCAUCUGUAGUGUGAACCCCCGUGGGUGUAUGGUCGUCAAGAGAGAUAUCCAGACGUUGAUGGAUGAGAAUGUAAUCUAGAUUAAAUAGUCAAGGGAUAUAGAUGAUGUGAAUGUUAUUGUACCGGUGUUCAAGACCCAUGAGCGGGUAGUUAUCGAGUUCGAUAGUAGCAACAACAAUAAUGUUAACAGAUCGGUAUCGUCGUUGGUUAUACGGUUAGUGGGCCCUGUCCCGUAUGCAUCCGAUAAAGCUGUGCCAUAUCAAUAUAACGCCAUUAUGAUUGAAGAUGGUCAAGAGGUUCCUCUACCAGUCGCCGACUCAGUGGUGAAUAAUGCAGAUAUUACGAAGGUGACUCGUAGCGGUUGUGUGUCCAGUCCCGUGUUUCCAAAGAUAGUAGAAGAUGUUGCAGCAAGUAAGAAAGCAGAGAUUCCUAUAGUGAAUCCAGUUAGUACUCCAAUGUGUCAAUCUGGUGAAUCCAUCAAAUUGAAGACUAACAAUGAUGAUGAGGUGCUAAAGUUGAUCAAAAGAAGUGAAUUCAAUAUUGUGGAGCAGCUACUCCAGACGCCGUAAAAAAUCUCCAUACUGUCACUGCUAAUGAAUUCUGAAGCACAUAGGGAAGCGUUGCAAAAAGUUCUAGAGCAGGAUUAUGUUGAGCACGAUGUGACCGUGGAUCAGUUUGACCAUAUAGUUGCCAACAUUACUUCUUGUAAUAAUCUGAGUUUUGUGAUGAAGAUCUUCCCGGGGAAGACAUGAAUCACAAUUUGGCACUCCAUAUUUCGAUGAAUUGAAAAGAGGAUGCUCUGUCCAAUGUGCUGGUUGAUACAAAGUCAUCUUUGAACGUGCUCCUGAAAUCAACUCUGUAAAGACUCUCUUAUCAAGGCACCCUAAUGAGGUACAACAACGUGAUUGUCAAAGUGUUCGACGGUUCUCGUAAAACUGUCAUUGGUGAAGUGGACCUUCCAGUGAAGAUAGGUCCGAGUGAUUUCCAUAUUACUUUCCAGGUAAUGGAUAUCCACCCGACCUACAGUUUCUUAUUGGGAAGGCCAUGGAUUCCUGAAGCUGGAGCUGUGACAUCUACUCUACAUCAGAAGCUAAAAUUUGUGAAGAACGACAUGCUUGUUAUUGUUGGUGAAGAGAAGGCAUUGUUAGUGAGCUAUUUGUCAUCUUUCACUUAUUUUGAUGAUGAGGAGAAGAUUGGAACAAAGUUCCAGGCCUUAUCCAUUGCUGAUGAAAUGAAGAAAACUGGGGCACCCAUGUCUUCUUUAAAAGAUGCGCAAGAGGCUAUUCAAGUUGGUAACAUUUACAAGUGGGGUCAUGUUGUGGAGAUUACCGAGAACAAGAAUAGAGCUGGAUUGGGAUUUCAACUAGGGCCAUUCAGUGCCAGAGCCAAAGUUAUGCAACCAAUUUUCUGCAGUGGAGGGUUCAUUAGUGAGAAUGAUCAACACUUAGCCGCCAUUAUUGAAGACAGUGGUGAUGAAGACGAAGCUUGCGCCAACUUUGUGACGCAUGGCCAGACUUGCAACAACUGGAUUGUUGUUGAUGUUCCUGUUUUCAUUCAUCGUUCUAAGUAAUUUGUUUUAUUUAUUUUAAGAAAAUCCUUCUCUUAUGCCUAAGGGAGAAGUGAACAUUGUUGGGCAUUUUAUUAUUAUCAUCAAUAAAAUACGAUUUUAUUCAUCCACAUCUAUGAUGUUUUAUAUUUUCUUUUUGCUUUUUGCUUUUUCUGAAAAUGGUAAUCACAAAAAACAUAACAAAUAGUAAUCUUCCAUCUGCAUAAUAUUUGUUCACACUCCACUUCUCUAAAAUCAAAAUAUCAAAUGAUUAUGCAGGUUGGUUCUCAAACCCAUUGAAUACAAUGAUCCUACUCCCUCUCCAAACUUUGAUUUCCAUGUGUUUGAAGCUAAGGAAGAAAGUGAUGAUGAAGAAAUAUCUGAUGAAUUAUCUCGUUUGCUUAAGCACGAGGAAAAAGUCGUUCAGCCAUUUAAAGAACAAAUUAGUCAACUUGGGUUCCGAGGACGAUGUGAAAGAAGUCAAUAUUGGGUCUCAACUUUGUCUAGAAGCUAAGAAGGGGUUGAUUGAUCUUCUUCGAGAUUAUUCUGAUGUGUUUGCUUGGUCCUAUCAAGACAUGCCAGGGUUGGAUUCUGAGAUUGUGGAGAAUAGAUUGCCGUUGAAGCCAGAAUGUCCGCCAGUCAAGCAGAAGUUAAGAAGAACUCAUCCUGAUAUAGCAGUUAAGAUCAAAGAGGAAGUGCAGAAGCAGAUUGAUGCUGGUUUUCUUGUAACCUCUGAAUAUCCGCAGUGGGUGGCCAAUAUUGUGCAUGUUCCUAAGAAAGAUGGAAAAGUACGCAUCUGUGUUGAUUAUAGAGAUUUGAAUAAAGCUAGUCCAAAAGAUGAUUUUCCUCUGCCACACAUUGAUAUGUUGGUAGACAAUACAUCUAAAUUCAAAGUCUUUUCAUUUAUGGAUGGAUUUUCCAAUUAUAAUCAAAUCAAGAUGGCACCCGAAGAUAUGGAGAAGACCACAUUCAUUACACCCUGGAGAAUAUUCUGUUAUAGAGUGAUGCCUUUCGGUUUAAAGAAUGCUGAUGCAACGUACCAGAGAGCUAUGACCACUCUUUUUCAUGAUAUGAUGCAUAAAGAGAUUAAAAUUUAUGUUGAUGAUAUGAUUGCCAAGUCAAGUGAUGAAGAAGAGCAUGUUGAGCAUUAGUUAAAGUUAUUCCAGCGAUUGAGGAAGUACAAACUCCACUUGAAUCCCAAUAAGUGUACUUUUGGUGUUCGUUCUGGUAAGUUAUUGGACUUUAUUGUCAGUGAGAAGGGUAUUGAAGUUGAUCCUGCCAAGGUCAAAGCAAUACAAGAAAUGCCUGCGCCCAAAACUGAGAAGCAAGUCAGAGGAUUUCUCGGCCGCUUGAAUUAUAUCUCAAGAUUUAUAUCGCAUAUGACUGCCACAUGUGCGCCUAUUUUCAAGCUUCUUCAGAAAGAUCAGUCUUGUGAUUGGACCGAAGAUUACCAUAAAGCUUUUGAUAGUAUCAAAGAGUACUUGCUUGAGCCUCCUAUUUUGUCUCUGCUUGUUGAAGCAAGACCGUUGAUCAUGUAUUUGACUGUGUUGGAUGAUAGUAUGGAUUGUGUUCUUGGUCAGCAAGGUGAAUCGGGAAAGAAAGAAUAUGCAAUUUACUACCUCAGUAAGAAAUUCACCGACUGUGAGACUCGGUAUUCUAUGCUUGAAAAGACAUGUUGUGCAUUGACUUGGGCUGCUAAGCGUCUACGCCAAUAUAUGUUGAACCAUACCACUUGGUUGAUAUCCAAAAUGGAUCCAAUCAAGUAUAUCUUUGAGAAGCCUGCUUUAACUGGGAGGAUUUCCCGUUGGCAGAUGUUGUUAUCUGAGUAUGAUAUUGAAUAUCGAUCUCAGAAAGUUAUCAAGAGUAGUAUCUUAGCAGACCAAUUGGCUCACCAACCGAUUGAAGAUUACCAGUCAGUGCAGUAUGAUUUUCCUAACGAAGAGAUUUUGUACUUGAAAAUGAAAGAUUGUGAUGAACCGCUGCUUGAAGAAGGGCCAGAACCUGGUUCCCGUUGGGGCAUGGUAUUUGAUGGAGUUGUUAAUUCAUAUGUGUCAUACCCCAAUUUGGUCAGGGCAUUUCAAAAUUUUCAUAAAUUUGAUUUAAUUUUCAGUUUUCAUCAUAUCUACAGCAUAACACGCAUUUCAUCAUGAAUAACACAUAAAAUAUCAGUCGGAAUAAAUUCUUGAAAAUACAAACAAGUUGGUUAAAUCAUUCCUCAAGUACGGACAAAAUCAGCGGAUAAAAAAGUUUUGAAAUUAAACUUGCAGACGUCAGUAUUAUUAAUCUAUGGUUCACGUAGUUUAAUCUGGUGUGCUCGUUUUAUUUUUCGACGACUUUUUCAGUCGCAUUUUGAUCCAUCUGAGCCUUUUAACCGGUGAAAAUUUAUUUCAAAAUUUAAAGAAACGCUGUAUUUUUUCAAUAAGUAUAUUUCGUGCUGAUCAUUUUAGUGCGUCUGAUUUAAUUUUUUGAGCAAAUUUUUGCCCGACUUUUAUUCAUUUUUAGUCGUUUUAAUUUUACUCUUUUGCCAAAAUAUUCAGAUUAAAUAAAUAGAAUUUUCCAUGUCCUUAGUUUAUUUUUAUCACAUUAAUUUAAGGAGUUGUCAAUUUUAUUUGAUUUAAUUGAUUUAAAUGGUUUAAAUCAAUUAAAUCAUAUAGAAUGGGCGUUUUAGGCAUUUUAAAUUAUCUAACAACUUUUGUUUCUUUGUGUGUUUCCUUAAGUUAUAUUGGGAUCAUCGGUUCAAAUUUAUCAAUGACCCAUAAUGGCAAUCCUUCUCCAUUUCAUUUCAUCCAAUCAAAAAUAAAAUAAAAUUAAUUGAAUUAAAAAUGACAAAGAAAAUUAGAAAAUAAAAAUAUCUUGUUUCUCCCCAGUAAAGUUGAGCCACACGUCCGUUAUGGAUAAGGAUUAUAUUUUUUUUAACUAAAGAAAAUGAAAUACAACUCAAUAACCUCUGUCCACUAAUGAAUCUCUGUUGGUCUAACGGUAAGAAAGGAAAAAAAACAAAAAGGACAACUAGCCUCCACACUCUCUCAGAGACUCUCUCAUUUUCCAAUGGCUAUAGGUCACAGAAAAAUAAAAUAAAAAGGAAAAAGGGGAACACCGUUCAUGUUCUUUCCCACAACUCCAUUCACUCACGUAGAACGCCAAUCAACCACAAUAAGCCGCCGGAAAACAUUAACUCAUUACAAUCGCCGCCUCCAUAAAACCUCCUUCACACUCACCUCCGCUGCGAACCCGGACCACCGUCCCAUCCAACCUUCCGCCACGAAUCUAAUCCCCACCGUUAUCUUCCCACCAUCACAAAGUCCCCUCUCCAACUUCUCUGUCGCGGCUACAACACCACGACACCCCCCCGUUGCACCGUCGGUGGCAACCCCAAACCAUCCGCCGGCGAACCCUUAUCCGUCUGUCACCAAUUCCGACCACCGCAAAACCAUCUCACUUCGCUCAUUCCAUCUCCGUUCCUUCACCUGCGCAAACUAAGCGCCAUAGUCGCCCAACACACCUCUCCUUCUUCUUCUCUAAGUUCCGCCGGCAAACGAUUCUUCCGUUGGAAACACCAUCACCAUCAUAAAACUCUCCUCAUCAUGGAAUCACAGUCCAUUUCCUUCAUACACCCUCGCCGACAACGUCCAAAACAUUACUCCCUUUUACUACUUCAGAUCUACAAACUCAACCGUCGCCCGUGAAUCCUCCACCGCGACCCACCUUCAACUACCGCAUGAUCCUUUUUCCGACCGACCAACCCCAAGCUACACCAUUCAACAUCGUCAAACACAUGACGCCCAUCGCCGGCGGAAUAUUACAUCUACCUGCACCGUCAAGCCUCUCUCGUUACGGUAUUCUUGCGUCACCGUCAUUUUCCGUGUUUGGUUGGUUUUCCUGUCUUAUCUCUUUCUAUACUCGUUGUUCUAAUGAAUUUCAUGGAAUUGUAGCAUAUCUAUGAUGGUGUAUAUCGAUUAUGCCGGUUAUGUUUCAAUUUCAUCAUGUGACUUUUGUUGACUAUCAUGUUGUUGUGUUUGUUCAUAAGGAAGUUGGAAAAAGUAGCUAAGCACAUGCUUGUGUGGUUUAAUCUCUGUGUUUUUUUAUUAGGAUAUUAGAUUGUUGUGGAUCUUUUAAAUAUUGCAUGUAGUAAUAUAUUGAUUAAUUGGCCAAUAGAUUGUGAGAUAUUAAAAGUCUGUUACGGCUGAUUUUGGUUUGGUAUCUUGCCAAGAAUAUGUAAAUAAAAAGUUAAGUUAUAGCAUAUGAAUGGUGGUAAUCAUAAUUCUGAGUAGUAGUACAUAUAUUGUAAUUAUAUUUUGGUUAUAUCACAGUGUACAUAGAUUGUAAUUAUAAGUUGGUUAAAUUAUAGCAUAUGAACGGUGGUAGUCAUAAUUCUCAGUAGUAGUAUAUAUAUUGUAAUUAUAUUUUGGUUAUAUUACAGUGUACAUAGCUUGUAAUUAUAUUUUGGUUAUAUUAUAGCAUAUGAAUAGUAGUAAUCACAAUUCUGAGUUAAUUAAGUAUUAAUAUUUUAAUUGUAUUAACAAUUGAUUGCUAU